This 460-nucleotide ribosomal RNA is filed under the name uncultured bacterium. Its description in RNAcentral is "bacterial SSU rRNA". It matches the Rfam family "Bacterial small subunit ribosomal RNA", at positions 338 to 793 of the family's 1533-position model. The record is from RNAcentral.
CCUACGGGAGGCAGCAGUGAGGAAUAUUGGACAAUGGAGGAGACUCUGAUCCAGCCAUGCCGCGUGUAGGAAGAAUGCCCUAUGGGUUGUAAACUACUUUUAUACAGGAAGAAACACUGGUAUGUAUACCAGCUUGACGGUACUGUAAGAAUAAGGACCGGCUAACUCCGUGCCAGCAGCCGCGGUAAUACGGAGGGUCCGAGCGUUAUCCGGAAUCAUUGGGUUUAAAGGGUCCGCAGGCGGUCGAUUAAGUCAGAGGUGAAAUCCCAUAGCUCAACUAUGGAACUGCCUUUGAUACUGGUUGACUUGAGUCAUAUGGAAGUAGAUAGAAUGUGUAGUGUAGCGGUGAAAUGCAUAGAUAUUACACAGAAUACCGAUUGCGAAGGCAGUCUACUACGUAUGUACUGACGCUGAGGGACGAAAGCGUGGGGAGCGAACAGGAUUAGAUACCCCCUGGUAG